UGUCUUCGGGGCGGGGUGAAAGUCCCCACCGGCGGUGAUGCGGCCCUUAAAGCCGACAAGCCCGCGAGCCUUAGGGCAAUUCCGGUUUGAUUCCGGAGCCGACGGUUAAAGUCCGGAUGGGAGAAGAC
Molecule: non-coding RNA, 128 nt
Filed under: human gut metagenome
Description: FMN riboswitch (RFN element)
Rfam family: FMN riboswitch aptamer (RFN element)
About the family: The RFN element is a highly conserved domain that is found frequently in the 5'-untranslated regions of prokaryotic mRNAs that encode for flavin mononucleotide (FMN) biosynthesis and transport proteins. This element is a metabolite-dependent riboswitch that directly binds FMN in the absence of proteins. In Bacillus subtilis, the riboswitch most likely controls gene expression by causing premature transcription termination within the 5' untranslated region of the ribDEAHT operon and precluding access to the ribosome-binding site of ypaA mRNA.
Source: RNAcentral